Molecule: ribosomal RNA, 275 nt
Filed under: uncultured bacterium
Lineage: Bacteria
Description: partial 16S ribosomal RNA
Rfam family: Bacterial small subunit ribosomal RNA
Source: RNAcentral
GCGUGUGUGAAGAAGGCCUGCGGGUUGUAAAGCACUUUCAGAUGGGAAGAUAAUGACGGUACCAUCAGAAGAAGCACCGGCUAACUCUGUGCCAGCAGCCGCGGUAAUACAGAGGGUGCGAGCGUUAAUCGGAAUUACUGGGCGUAAAGCGCGCGUAGGCGGUUUGAUCAGUCGGAUGUGAAAGCCCCGGGCUUAACCUGGGAAUUGCAUUCGAUACUGUCAGGCUAGAGUAUGGUAGAGGGAAGUGGAAUUCCAGGUGUAGCGGUGAAAUGCGU